Molecule: unclassified non-coding RNA, 357 nt
Filed under: Hevea brasiliensis (rubber tree)
Lineage: Eukaryota; Viridiplantae; Streptophyta; Magnoliopsida; Malpighiales; Euphorbiaceae
Source: RNAcentral
CGCUUCUCGGUGGUGAUCUGGGCAAUGAAGGAAGGAGCAGAGCUGGCGAAGAAGAUCAAAGAGCCGAGGUAGGCAGCGCCCUUGUAAGAGAGAGUGCCAGUGGCGUUGAUGAGGGCACCGACACCGUAGGACUGGACGGCAGAGCCGACGAGGGAAGUACCCCAGGCAGAGGCGGCAGAGGCAGCCUCCUUGGACUUGAAGAACUCCUCCUUGGAGUUGGAGGCCUGGGCCUGACGGUAGGUGUCACCGAAGACGGGGCCGAGGACAGCAAGGGAGAUGGCGUGGCUGUAGACGGUGCCGAGGGCGACCGCGGAGGGCUUAACGGGAGGGAGGUAAGAAAGGGUGGCCAUUGUGAAG